Molecule: unclassified non-coding RNA, 364 nt
Filed under: Hevea brasiliensis (rubber tree)
Lineage: Eukaryota; Viridiplantae; Streptophyta; Magnoliopsida; Malpighiales; Euphorbiaceae
Source: RNAcentral
UCGCCGACGAAGGCCUCGGCGGUUUCCGCCUCGCGAUUCCAGUAGCCCCUGGUGACAUUCGGGCCGCGGAUGCGGAUUUCACCGGUUUCGCCGACCGGCAUCACUUUUUUCGGAUCGUCGAGCGAGACCACAUCCAUCUCGAUGCCGGGAAGCAUGAGGCCGAUCGAACCGGGCUUCUCCGGGCCGUCCGGCGGAUGGCCGGUGCCGGGUGAGCAAGUCUCGGUCAUGCCCCACCCGCUUUUCAGCGCAAGCUUGGUCUUGCGCUCGAACACCUUCGCCACUUCCACCGGCAACGGGGCGCCGCCGGAGCCGGCAAACGCCAGCGACGACAGGUCGCGCUUGUCGAGAUCGGGCAGGCUGGCGA